ACGUACACUCCUACGGGAGGCAGCAGUGGGGAAUAUUGCACAAUGGGCGCAAGCCUGAUGCAGCCAUGCCGCGUGUAUGAAGAAGGCCUUCGGGUUGUAAAGUACUUUCAGCGGGGAGGAAGGCAAUACGGUUAAUAACCGUGUUGAUUGACGUUACCCGCAGAAGAAGCACCGGCUAACUCCGUGCCAGCAGCCGCGGUAAUACGGAGGGUGCAAGCGUUAAUCGGAAUUACUGGGCGUAAAGCGCACGCAGGCGGUCUGUCAAGUCGGAUGUGAAAUCCCCGGGCUCAACCUGGGAACUGCAUUCGAAACUGGCGGGCUUGAGUCUUGUAGAGGGGGGUAGAAUUCCAGGUGUAGCGGUGAAAUGCGUAGAGAUCUGGAGGAAUACCGGUGGCGAAGGCGGCCCCCUGGACAAAGACUGACGCUCAGGUGCGAAAGCGUGGGGAGCAAACAGGAUUAGAAACCCCUGUAGUCCCA
This 477-nucleotide ribosomal RNA is filed under the name uncultured organism. Its description in RNAcentral is "partial 16S ribosomal RNA". It matches the Rfam family "Bacterial small subunit ribosomal RNA", at positions 329 to 797 of the family's 1533-position model. The record is from RNAcentral.